GACGAACGCUGGCGGCGUGCUUAACACAUGCAAGUCGAACGGAAAGGCCCUGCUUUUGUGGGGUGCUCGAGUGGCGAACGGGUGAGUAACACGUGAGUAACCUGCCCUUGACUUUGGGAUAACUUCAGGAAACUGGGGCUAAUACCGGAUAGGAGCUCCUGCUGCAUGGUGGGGGUUGGAAAGAUUCGGCGGUUGGGGAUGGUCUCGCAGCUUAUCAGCUUGUUGGUGGGGUAGUGGCUUACCAAGCUUUUGACGGGUAGCCGGCCUGAGAGGGGUACCGGCGACAUUGGGACUGAGAUACGGACCAGAAGCCUACGGGAGGCAGCAGGGGGGAGUAUGGCGCAGUGGGCGGAAGCCUGAGGCAGAGACGCCGCGUGCGGGAUGCCGGGCUUCGGGUGAUAAACCGAUUUCGCCUGUGACGAGGCGUGAGUGACGGUAAUGGGUAAAAAAGCACCGGCUAACUACGUG
RNAcentral lists this ribosomal RNA (468 nucleotides) under uncultured bacterium. RNAcentral describes it as "partial 16S ribosomal RNA". It matches the Rfam family "Bacterial small subunit ribosomal RNA", at positions 28 to 507 of the family's 1533-position model. The record is from RNAcentral.